AACGAACGCUGGCGGCAUGCCUAACACAUGCAAGUCGAACGAGACCUUCGGGUCUAGUGGCGCACGGGUGCGUAACGCGUGGGAACCUGCCCUUAGGUUCGGAAUAACUCCCCGAAAGGGGUGCUAAUACCGGAUAAUGUCUUCGGACCAAAGAUUUAUCGCCUUUGGAUGGGCCCGCGUUGGAUUAGCUAGUUGGUAGGGUAAAAGCCUACCAAGGCGACGAUCCAUAGCUGGUCUGGGAGGAUGAUCAGCCACACUGGGACUGAGACACGGCCCAGACUCCUACGGGAGGCAGCGGUGGGGAAUAUUGGACGAUGGGCGAAAGCCUGAUCCAGCAAUGCCGCGUGAGUGAUGAAGGCCUUAGGGUUGUAAAGCUCUUUUACCCGGGAUGAUAAUGACAGUACCGGGAGAAUAAGCUCCGGCUAACUCCGUG
This 433-nucleotide ribosomal RNA is filed under the name uncultured bacterium. RNAcentral describes it as "partial 16S ribosomal RNA". It matches the Rfam family "Bacterial small subunit ribosomal RNA", at positions 29 to 507 of the family's 1533-position model. The record is from RNAcentral.